Eriocheir sinensis (Chinese mitten crab) is the source of this 920-nucleotide long non-coding RNA. RefSeq lists it as uncharacterized. The transcript has 2 exons. The record is from RefSeq and is a predicted model, not a curated record. Lineage: Eukaryota; Metazoa; Arthropoda; Malacostraca; Decapoda; Varunidae.
CAUGAAUUGUAUACAUAAACCGAGAAACAUCAGGAGCAUUAACGGCAUCUAUUCACACACCCACACAAGAAGUAGAUAAUGAGGAGUUACUACUAAAAGAAGGAAUAAACAGCAGGAACACAAGAGAACACAGUAAAAUAUUGAGAAAAUGAAGAUGCUUGAGAGACCAAAAAAAAUAUAGCUUCCCGCAAAGAAACAUAGAGGUUUGGAUCAGAAUAAGUGAGGAUGUACUAUCGGUGAAGAGUGUGCACAACUUUAAGGAAAAACUGGACAAGUAUAGAUAUGGAGACGGGACCACACGAGCAUAAGCCCAGGCCCUGUAAAAUUACAACUAGGUAAAUACAAACACACAUACACACACACACUCACACUAUGGAAAUUGGAGUCAGUGUGAAAUGUGGGAUUACAGACACGAACAGACUGCAUAAAUAAAGAGUAUGAUGAUGGUGAGAUACUUGCCAUAAAAUUCAUAGAGGUUAGAAAGCAUCGGUUCACCAUAUUCAAGAGUCAUUGGAACGGACGUCAAUAUAUGUGAAGCAGAGGAAGGAUAGCACACAAGGAGGAAGGAAAGUAUGAUGAAGGUAUUAAGUUUCCAUCACUAUAAUAAGACAUGUGAAGCAGAGGAAGGAUAGCACACAAGGAGGAAGGAAAGUAUGAUGAAGGUAUUGAGUUUCCAUCACUAUAAUAAGACAUGUGAAGCAGAGGAAGGAUAGCACACAAGGAGGAAGGAAAGUAUGAUGAAGGUAUUGAGUUUCCAUCACUAUAAUAAGACAUGUGAAGCAGAGGAAGGAUAGGACACAAGGAGGAAGGAAAGUAUGAUGAAGGUAUUGAGUUUCCAUCACUAUAAUAAGACAUGUGAAGCAGAGGAAGGAUAGCACACAAGGAGGAAGAAAAGUAUGAUGAAGGUAUUGAGUUUCCAU